RNAcentral lists this ribosomal RNA (459 nucleotides) under uncultured bacterium. RNAcentral describes it as "partial 16S ribosomal RNA". It matches the Rfam family "Bacterial small subunit ribosomal RNA", at positions 338 to 795 of the family's 1533-position model. The record is from RNAcentral.
CCUACGGGUGACAGCAGUGAGGAAUAUUGGACAAUGGGCGCGAGCCUGAACCAGCCAAGUCGCGUGAGGGAAGACGGUCCUAUGAAUUGUAAACCUCUUUUGUCGGGGAGCAAAAGCCGCAACGCGUGGCGUUCCGAGAGUACCCGAAGAAAAAGCAUCGGCUCACUCAGUGCCAGCCGACGCGGUAAUGCGGGGGAUGCGAGGGUUAGCUGGAUUUAUUGGGUUUAACGGGUGAGCAGGCGGAAUAUCAAGUCAGCGGUAAUGUUGAGAGGCUCAACCUCUUCGAGCCGUUGAAACUGGUUGUCUUGAGUGAGCGAGAAGUAUGCGGAAUGCGAGGUGUAGCGGUGAAAUGCAUAGAUAUAACGCAGAACGCCGAUUGCGAAGGCAGCAUACCGGCGCUCAACUGACGCUCAGGCACGAAAGUGUGGGUAUCGAACAGGAUUAGAUACCCUAGUAGUC